CUGGCUCAGGACGAACGCUGGCGGCGUGCUUAACACAUGCAAGUCGAGCGAGUGGAUUCCCUUCGGGGAUGAAGCUAGCGGCGGACGGGUGAGUAACACGUGGGCAACCUGCCUUAUAGAGGGGGAUAGCCUUCCGAAAGGAAGAUUAAUACCGCAUAACAUCAGAUUAUCGCAUGGUAGAC
Molecule: ribosomal RNA, 182 nt
Filed under: Clostridium cavendishii DSM 21758
Lineage: Bacteria; Bacillati; Bacillota; Clostridia; Eubacteriales; Clostridiaceae
Description: 16S rRNA. Bacterial SSU
Rfam family: Bacterial small subunit ribosomal RNA
Source: RNAcentral